UUGCAGGUUUGGUUUCGGAAGGGGAGUCGGUCAGCCGUUGGGGAAACCACUUCUGUAAUGGAGGCUGGCUGCCUGGAGGUGGCACCAGUGCGCCAUUGUCCCUCACACUCUGCUCUGGGAUAGAAUGAAGUUGUGCUCCCGUCCAAUUCACAUGAGCACGACUGCCUGGAUGACUCUUCUAAUGAUUUCUUCUCUGCUCACAGCCCUUCAGAGGCUCCCUGUUCCUUGCUGGAUAAAGCCAACCUCUCAGUGAGAUCAAGCUAGACCCAGUCUCGUCUGGGUCAGCAGGAUGGUGGGAGAAGAGGCCCGGGGGCCUUUUUGGUCUUAGAGCAGAGGGAGGGGGGUGUUUGAGUUCUGGGGAAAAGAACCGAAACGAAAACAAUGAGAAUGAGGAAGAACCCGGAUAUCUGUCCCUGACACCAGUCUCUUUGCAGAGAAGCACUGCAGGCAGAGACUGCAAACUUCUCACACAAGACUCGAGAGCCACAGGACAAUCUCUUGGGUGGGGCCCACAACUUCUUCGGUCACGGAAGUCCCAAGCUUUCAGGUGGUGAGAUGAAGUGACACAAACUGUGUGAAAAGACCCAUGAAAGGAGCGUGUCCCUGGUCUCCAUCUGCAUCUGAGAUUUGGUGCUGGCUUCAUUCAAAGCACAUUUGUUGAUCCCUGAGUCUGCGCUGGAUUCCAGUGGAAGCAGUGAGGAGGGGCAGAUAAGAAGACGAAUGAGAAAGCUCGCGACCUUUAAAAGUUUUAAGUCCUAAAGCAACAAAAGGAUAUAGAUGUAAAUCAAUACAACCCUUGUCUUUACAUUUGACCGAUGAGAAUGUGUUACAAAUGUCUCAGUGCUUAGGAAGCACAAAUAUCCAUGCAUUUGCUGACCAAAUUAUGAACAAAAAUGUAGAUUAAAAAAAUUUUUUUUUUUUAAAUUUUAGAGACACGGUCUCAC
Long non-coding RNA from Lemur catta (Ring-tailed lemur), 944 nucleotides. RefSeq lists it as uncharacterized. The transcript has 4 exons. The record is from RefSeq and is a predicted model, not a curated record. NCBI's taxonomy places the organism in Eukaryota, Metazoa, Chordata, Mammalia, Primates, Lemuridae.